This 431-nucleotide ribosomal RNA is filed under the name uncultured Desulfobulbaceae bacterium. RNAcentral describes it as "bacterial SSU rRNA". It matches the Rfam family "Bacterial small subunit ribosomal RNA", at positions 358 to 780 of the family's 1533-position model. Lineage: Bacteria; Pseudomonadati; Thermodesulfobacteriota; Desulfobulbia; Desulfobulbales; Desulfobulbaceae. The record is from RNAcentral.
GGAAUAUUGCGCAAUGGGGGCAACCCUGACGCAGCGACGCCGUGUGGGUGAGGAAGGCUUUCGGGUCGUAAAGCCCUGUCAGGUGGGAAGAAAUGGCUAUUAGUUAAUACCUUAUAGUCUUGACGGUACCACCAAAGGAAGCACCGGCUAACUCCGUGCCAGCAGCCGCGGUAAUACGGAGGGUGCAAGCGUUGUUCGGAAUUACUGGGCGUAAAGGGCGCGUAGGCGGCCUAUUAAGUCAGAUGUGAAAGCCCACGGCUCAACCGUGGAAGUGCAUUUGAAACUGGUAGGCUUGAGUAUCAGAGGGGAAAGUGGAAUUCCCGGUGUAGAGGUGAAAUUCGUAGAUAUCGGGAGGAAUACCGGUGGCGAAGGCGACUUUCUGGCUGAAUACUGACGCUGAGGCGCGAAAGCGUGGGGAGCAAACAGGAUUA